UUCUAUCUAGCUCAGCUAGUAGAGAAUGAGGCUCUUAAUCUCAGGGUUGCAGGUUUGAGCCCCACGUUGGGCAAA
This is a non-coding RNA of Podarcis lilfordi (Lilford's wall lizard), 75 nucleotides long. Lineage: Eukaryota; Metazoa; Chordata; Lepidosauria; Squamata; Lacertidae. The record is from the annotation of a GenBank genome assembly.